CUGUAAUAUAAAUAAGGCCAUGCUCAUAAAAAAUAUAUAAUCCUUCCUCAUUUUAAAUGGCACCCACCGCCACUGACUCACAGUUUGCUGUAACAUGGAAUCCUCCCAAAGCCCCCUUUCCUAAUACAGUCCAUACCUCCUCCCUCUUGUUCACACACAGUUAAAAAAUUGCCCUGUCUCUCUCUGUCUGUGUGUGUGUGUGUGUGUGUGUGUGUGUGUGUGUGUGUGUGUGUGUGUGUGUGUGUGUGUGUGUGUGUGUGUGUGUGUGUGUGUGUGUGUGUGUGUGUUAUUGUUGGAAUUCCUCAGUGUUCCCUCUCUACAUCUGGUAAUCAUUAGCCAUGUCAGUAUAUAAAGAGGAUGUUGUGCGUAGUCAGGAUCCAGUGUAUCAGCAUGGAGCAGGCUGUGUGGCUGCUGUGUGUCCUGUUUCUGCAGGUCUGUCUGCUCUCCACCACGGCCCUCCCUGGACAAGAGAGACGGACAGCAGCUUUUCAAACCAACCAAGCCAUGGUGAGACAUUCCUCUGGAUUCUACUAGGUUUAUUCCCUGUCCUAUAAUCUAUGAUUCCAACCCUAUUCCUGGAGAGCUACCCUCCUGUAGAUUUUCACUCCAACUCCAGUUGUAACUAACUAGCCUGAUUCUAAUUAUUAGAAUCAAGUGCGCUAGAGGGGGAGGUUUUCGGGGUGACUGUGGGGGGGAUCUUGGAUGGUAGAGGGGCGGUUUUCAUGGGGGACCUACAGGACCGUAACUCUCCAGGAACAGAGUUGGGGAGCCCUGCUCUAGACUGACACAGUUGGAAUGUGCACAUUGGUAUAGAAGUCACUCUGGCACUAUCACGAUCAUUCUGCACCACUCUCAACAGGGAGGCUCUUCCCCAUUCCUCCCAGGACCUCCACCUCAGGUAGACAUGAAGCCACUGGUUGUGCAGCUCACAUCAAAGAGACAUGAGGAGGGUGUCCGAAACAGGGUAGGGGCAUGCAGCGGCCAGCGUCCAGGGAGUUGUUCAAUGUUGUCAGUCCUGAAGAAUGGACCUCCACCGCCACCCGAGAGUUCCAGGACUAAGAGGCAUGUGACUACUAAGGGCAGACGCAAAAGACCCUAUCGUCCUGGAGUCUUGGCUGCAUUUUCCGAACUAGCUGUUCCUCCUUACAGAUCCUCAGCAUAGAAGAAGACGGUACUGAGACACAGGACAGGCCAUGGAGAGAAACCCACCGCUGAAACUUGCUUUAUUUUGGGUCAUAAGUGAAAUAAGCAUGAAAAAAACAUGUGGUAUCGACAGUAAAACACUCAGUCCUGCUUUAUUUGAAGUGCAUCUUGAGAAAGCUUUUUAAAAACGGUCAUAUAGGCUUCAUAAGCACUGCAUAAAUAGGUCACAAAUAAUCUAUAACUCAUUUCAUGCUCGAUAAAAUAUUUCCAAAUGUGAUUUCUAAAUGUGAACAAAUAAAUGCAUGCAUUUAUAGAGCAAGAUAUAAGGUUAUAGAUGAUAUGUGAAGCAUCUAUGUGUGGCUUUAUGAAGCCUUCAUAAGAUGCAUUUCAAAUAAAGCGGGACUAAACUUUCAUUGACUUUUUUUUUUCAGUUUUCCAGCAAUGCAAUUAUAAAUAAAACUCUACCGCGCGAUGGACUGGACUAAGCCAUUCACUCAUUUCUGAAUGUUCUGUAAGACAAAUCACAUUGGGGUCACCAAACUUGUAGGUGAUGUUAUGUUCCUGGAAUCGACUCAGUAUUUUAAUGUUAUUCAAAGCCUUAAAUCACAGUUAAAACAAAGGAAACAAAAAUGUCAAGACACACAAUGUAUUUGCUUCAGUAGUCAAUCUUUUCACAAUUUCUCAAUAUUCUCUGUCAAAUGCUCAAUGUUACUGCAUAUUUUACCAUAGCAAACCUUUCAACAGUUGUAUAUGUCUGUUCUACUAAAUAAAAAUGUUAGAUCUAGGACAUGAACACAAUCCAGUUUAUUCCUACUGUUGUUAUUACGAGAGAUUUGACUCAAUCCAGAAGACAUUAAAACCCCAGAUGUUUUGAUUUUUGAAAAGGUCAUCAUGGACGUUUGCAAUGUCUCCACAAGUUCCAAUCAACAGUUGAAACUUAGAUGGAUUUAGGGAGGCAGUGAGAGAAUAUACACAUGUUGAAAACAGAGUUAGAAGACCAGCUGUCUGCAACUUUUAACAGAGUAGCUAGUAGUCAUUUAGCCACUGGUAGUCUGCACAGCGCGAUAUCAACCCAGAGCACAUCGGACAGCUUUUUCUCUACCACAUCUCCGGAUUCCUACCUCAAGAUCUGAGCCGAUGUAAUCUUCGAAGGUGGUUUCAACAGGCUCUUCCGUUGCGACAUCGCCAGAGGCCCAUCUGCUAUCCCCGGCCCGCUAGCUGUCUGAAUCGCCGUGUCUCCAGCUCGCCUAGCAUAGUAGCGACUACUGAAUCGGCACCCUGGCUCAUCUAUUGCUACUCUUUGGACCCUAUUAUCACUUGGCUACACAUGCCUCUCCCUAAUGUCAAUAUGCUUUGUCUAUUGCUGUUUUGGUUAGUGAUUAUUCUCUUAUUUCACUGUAGAGCCCCCAGCCCUGCCCAACAUGCCUUAGAUAGCCCUUUUGUUCAUACCCCCACACAUGCGGUGACCUCACCUGGCUUAACUGGUGCCUCUAGAGACAAAACCUCUCUCAUUGUCACUCAUCAUCCGACCAUACCUUUGUCUGUACAUUGCCUUGAAUCUAUUCUUCCAUGACCAGAAAUCUGCUCCUUUUACUCUCUGUUCAGAACGCACUAGAUGAUCAGUUCUAAUAGCCUUUAG
Long non-coding RNA from Oncorhynchus tshawytscha (Chinook salmon), 2782 nucleotides. The record is from Ensembl. Lineage: Eukaryota; Metazoa; Chordata; Actinopteri; Salmoniformes; Salmonidae.